RNAcentral lists this ribosomal RNA (589 nucleotides) under uncultured Bacillus sp. Its description in RNAcentral is "bacterial SSU rRNA". It matches the Rfam family "Bacterial small subunit ribosomal RNA", at positions 338 to 918 of the family's 1533-position model. Lineage: Bacteria; Bacillati; Bacillota; Bacilli; Caryophanales; Bacillaceae. The record is from RNAcentral.
CCUACGGGAGGCAGCAGUAGGGAAUCUUCCACAAUGGACGAAAGUCUGAUGGAGCAACGCCGCGUGAGUGAAGAAGGAUUUCGGUUCGUAAAACUCUGUUGCAAGGGAAGAACAAGUAGCGUAGUAACUGGCGCUACCUUGACGGUACCUUGUUAGAAGGCCACGGCUAACUACGUGCCAGCAGCCGCGGUAAUACGUAGGUGGCAAGCGUUGUCCGGAAUUAUUGGGCGUAAAGCGCGCGCAGGUGGUUCCUUAAGUCUGAUGUGAAAGCCCCCGGCUCAACCGGGGAGGGUCAUUGGAAACUGGGGAACUUGAGUGCAGAAGAGGAUAGUGGAAUUCCAAGUGUAGCGGUGAAAUGCGUAGAGAUUUGGAGGAACACCAGUGGCGAAGGCGACUGUCUGGUCUGUAACUGACACUGAGGCGCGAAAGCGUGGGGAGCAAACAGGAUUAGAUACCCUGGUAGUCCACGCCGUAAACGAUGAGUGCUAAGUGUUGGGGGGUUUCCGCCCCUCAGUGCUGCAGCUAACGCAUUAAGCACUCCGCCUGGGGAGUACGGUCGCAAGACUGAAACUCAAAUGAAUUGACGGGG